Long non-coding RNA from Amphiprion ocellaris (clown anemonefish), 1886 nucleotides. RefSeq lists it as uncharacterized. The record is from RefSeq and is a predicted model, not a curated record. The transcript is spliced from 3 exons. Lineage: Eukaryota; Metazoa; Chordata; Actinopteri; Pomacentridae.
AAAAGCUGGGGAGCGGCCCCCUAUACGUUCUCGCUCUCUCUCUCUCGCUGAGGCUGAAGCCACGCCCUAUUCCGGUUGCUCGCCCUGGUUUGUUACCGGUGUUUAGAACUUUCGGCGUGUUAUCGUGAUUGGCGUCGGGUAGCUACGUUUAGUGUUACCAACGGAAGCUACAGCGGCUGGAGCGGCUCCUGACGUGCUCUCCCUUGUGUGUAUGUGUGUGUGUGCCACGCAGCUGCCCAGAGUGGCAGCGUCAAGGACCCGCUGCUGUUUUGCCUUGCUGUUGUUUUGCUCCACUUUGGCCAUGUAUCUGUGAUGGGCUUGCUAUACGGCUAACUGCAGCUAGCCUCCGUUAUUUCUCUGCCUCAUCGGCCUGGUCUGCUUCCCCUCGGCGUCGGCCGGGUUAGACCAGAGGCUGAGCACCUGUGGCAGGGAACGUGGUGUCGUCGGUGGUGGUAUCCCUCCCCGUGUGAUGUGUGAACCCUGGGUAUUUUUCAUUUAAUCCAUCACGUGUGUGUGUGUGUGCGAUUUUAUUCACCUGGUGACCUCUCCCUGGGCCCUGUUCCUCCCCUCCGGUGAUACAUCCUGCCACAUGCUCUCGUAGGAGGCGGUCGCACUUUUCCUUGCUCCGCUAUCUCUGUUCCUCCCUACCCUCAUGUCUCCCUGCUUGCUGCAUUUCUUCGUCUUCGUCUCGUCUGUCUGACUUGGAGCGAUUGCUUGGCACUGGACCUUCGAAACACCGAUCAUGGAAUUGAUUAACUGGUCUCUCAACGCAAUUGACAAGAUUGUCGCCACAAAGAGCACAGGCCUAGGGGAGCCUACCUGUCCGGAUGGGAGUUUUGCCUCUGGUUACGUGAUCGACGCCUGGGGGAAGUGGAAGGGGAUCAUGUGCCUGGCACCCCUAUCCGUGGAGGAUGUGGAAGAUGUUUAUAUAUUCGGAUUUAUGAUGACAGGCCUGCUGAUAAUUGGCUUGUUCACUGGCCUGAGCUUCUGGAAAAUCAGGAAGACCGCAGACAGAAACGACGUCCAAACUCUGCUGGUCUAUGCAAACGAACGGAUCACGGCUGCCGAUUCUCGGUAUGACGAACUCAAUCGUAAGAUGAACAAUUUGAUUUGAGUCGCAGAUUGGAAGCCAUCAGGGUGAGAAUCGCUACAGCUGAGGUCUAAAAUUGUUGAGAGCAGUAGGGAGAAGGUGAAAUUACUUCUCUCCCGCGCAAACGUGAAUAACUGAUUACAUUCUGGCGCCCCUGGAACAAUAAACUCCUCUGGAAGUUUCAUGGCCAAGAGAUAGCUCUCCUACACCCCAACCGAGGAUGUCUCCAUAGCAACCUUGCUGUGUUAUCGCGCUCCCACCCUCGCGAACUGAGACACCGGAGGUCUGAGACGGAAGAAGAUGGGCUACACACAUACACAAACAUUGGACUCAUGAACUGAGGACUGAGCUAAACAUUCACACACACAUUCCCAUAUCCCCCAUCCCCCCCCCCGCCUCCACAAGCUUCCCUCGCUAUGCACAGGAGCCAGGAAUCCGUGCACCUGCACAGGAACCGGCUAACUGUGCAGUGCUCCCCCCCUCCACCACCCCACAUCCUUAUCCCAACUAUCCUUGUCUAACGUCAUGCUUUGCCUGUUUGCGGGUUUGUUUUUUUAGGUUCCUUCUCAAAUUGAAUUUCCCAACAUUGGAGGUUUCAUUUGGUACAACGAGCCUUUUAUUUUCUUUUACCCUCUGCUAUCCCUACCCAGAUCCCAACAUGUCCUUUUUCUUUUUUCUUCGAGAAAGGUGCGCGCAGCACUGCGCAGCAGCCGGAGCUGUCAUUGGCAGGGCAGCUCAAAUGAAAUUUCGUUGUAUAUGAAAAUGUGCAAUGACCAAUAAAGAUUGAUCGAUUACA